This 477-nucleotide ribosomal RNA is filed under the name uncultured bacterium. RNAcentral's name for it is "bacterial SSU rRNA". It matches the Rfam family "Bacterial small subunit ribosomal RNA", at positions 325 to 793 of the family's 1533-position model. The record is from RNAcentral.
CACUGUCACUCCUACGGGGAGGCAGCAGUGGGGAAUAUUGCACAAUGGGCGCAAGCCUGAUGCAGCCAUGCCGCGUGUAUGAAGAAGGCCUUCGGGUUGUAAAGUACUUUCAGUCGUGAGGAAGGCGGCGUCGUUAAUAGCGGCGUUGUUUGACGUUAGCGACAGAAGAAGCACCGGCUAACUCCGUGCCAGCAGCCGCGGUAAUACGGAGGGUGCGAGCGUUAAUCGGAAUUACUGGGCGUAAAGCGCAUGCAGGUGGUUUGUUAAGUCAGAUGUGAAAGCCCGGGGCUCAACCUCGGAAUUGCAUUUGAAACUAGGCAGACUAGAGUACUGUAGAGGGGGGUAGGAAUUUCAGGUGUAGCGGUGAAAAUGCGUAGAGAUCUGAAGGAAUACCGGUGGCGAAGGCGGCCCCCUGGACAGAUACUGACACUCAGAUGCGAAAGCGUGGGGAGCAAACAGGAUUAGAUACCCUGGUAG